UGAGUUUCAUGGGUUAUGAUUGAUUUUCAUUUUGAAAAAUAUUGUCUUGAUUUGAAUUGCACUAAAUGCUAUGAAAGAAGCCGAAUACUUUGAACAACUGGGUCAAACGUCCCGUAUCCAAAGAUAUUCAGAAAAAGGGUAGGAAUAUUUUAGUAUUAAAUGAAUAAGGAAAAGAAAAGGAUGGAUGAAUUACAAUAAUGAUCAGGGCCUUGAUGUCCAUUCUACUUUAGAGUCUUGGAAGGGAAUUCUUA
Molecule: long non-coding RNA, 251 nt
Filed under: Lathyrus oleraceus (garden pea)
Lineage: Eukaryota; Viridiplantae; Streptophyta; Magnoliopsida; Fabales; Fabaceae
Description: Pisum sativum (pea) long non-coding RNA (PSAT_LNC014479)
Source: RNAcentral